UACUAUGUUACGACUUAUCUCACUUCUGAGAGCGACGGGCGAUAUGUGCAUAUUUUAGAGCUUGAUUCAAAUACUCAUAAUAUUAGUAUUUUACUAUUAAAUCCUAAUUAAUUUUUUCAUGUAAAAAAAUUACAUUAAAAUUAAUGUAAUUCACUUCAUUCAUAAUUAUUAGAUGCACCUUGACUUAAUAUAUUUUUUUUAAAAAAAUUUUAAAUAUAACUAUUCAAUAUAAUUAAUAUAGUGGUAUACAAACUGAUUUAAAUUACUAAAUUAAGUAAGAUUAAGGCGUUGUGUCCAUCACAGAGCAAAUUCCUCUAAUAAGCUUAAAAUACCGCCAAAAUUUUUUAAUUUCAUAAAUUUUAUUUACUCCUAAUAUAUAGCUUAAAAUAAUAGGGUAUCUAAUCCUAGUUU
This 411-nucleotide ribosomal RNA is filed under the name Ixodes scapularis (black-legged tick). RNAcentral describes it as "partial 12S ribosomal RNA". The record is from RNAcentral. Lineage: Eukaryota; Metazoa; Arthropoda; Arachnida; Ixodida; Ixodidae.